This 306-nucleotide ribosomal RNA is filed under the name uncultured bacterium. Its description in RNAcentral is "partial 16S ribosomal RNA". It matches the Rfam family "Bacterial small subunit ribosomal RNA", at positions 507 to 809 of the family's 1533-position model. The record is from RNAcentral.
GACAGCAGUAGCCGCGGGAAUACAGAGGGUGCGAGCGUUAAUCGGAUUUACUGGGCGUAAAGCGUGCGUAGGCGGCUUCUUAAGUCGGAUGUGAAAUCCCUGAGCUUAACUUAGGAAUUGCAUUCGAUACUGGGAAGCUAGAGUAUGGGAGAGGAUGGUAGAAUUCCAGGUGUAGCGGUGAAAUGCGUAGAGAUCUGGAGGAAUACCGAUGGCGAAGGCAGCCAUCUGGCCUAAUACUGACGCUGAGGUACGAAAGCAUGGGGAGCAAACAGGAUUAGAUACCCGUGUAGUCCCUGUCUCUUAUAA